RNAcentral lists this long non-coding RNA (876 nucleotides) under Vitis vinifera (wine grape). RNAcentral describes it as "long non-coding RNA (VVIN_LNC002495)". Lineage: Eukaryota; Viridiplantae; Streptophyta; Magnoliopsida; Vitales; Vitaceae. The record is from RNAcentral.
AAACACUGAAAAAUGUAGCGAAACCAUGCUUAAUCAGGAUUACACGUAUGGCAUGUGGCAUUAAAAUGGAAGAAGUGUCUCUUAUUGAACAUGGAGAUCAUAAGUAGAGUGAACGACGAAAACUUCUCCAACUUCGAAAGAGGCCAUGUGAGGUGACAGAGUUCUGUAAGUUUUGUUGAAAGUCAUAUUUCUCGUCAGACGCAUUAGUGGUUGUGACUUGCGAGUAAAUUAGGGUGCAUUGGAAUUUGGAGCCAAGAAAUUGUCAUGCCGUGGGGAUCUCUGUUAGGGGGAGCGUACGGAUCAUUUAGUAUGCAUGCACAGCAGCGUUACAUGUCACAGCAUUGCACCAGAUUUUUAAAAUAGUGGGAAGGAAUUAAGGCAUUGAAUUCAAUCCAACCACCGCCUAACCAAUGUUCCUUCUGAUUCACACCCACCAGGGUCACCACUUCUUCUAUAUAAGCACCAGGCCUCCAACCCACUUCACUCAUCAGUUUCCGAACUCAACCCAGCUUCCAAGAGUAGUGAUUCUUGAGUUUAAUUCAACAGAAUGGCUGGCUCAGUAGCUGUCAAGGUCUCAUGCCUGGUGUUGAUGUGCAUGUUGGUGGCUUCGCCCAUGGCAGUAGAAGGGUUGUCGUGUGGUGACGUAGCAACCCAGUUGGCCCCGUGCAUCAACUACCUGAGAAGUGCUGGCCCAUUGCCUCCGGCGUGCUGCAAUGGUGUUAAGAACCUCAAAAACUCUGCCGCCACCACACAAGACCGCAGGACCGCUUGCAAGUGCUUGAUAAAUGCUUCUAAAUCCAUCUCUGGUGUGAACUUUGGUCUGGCUGCUGGCCUCCCUGGCAAAUGUGGUGUCAACAUUCCUUACAAGAUUAGCCC